This is a long non-coding RNA of Acanthaster planci (crown-of-thorns starfish), 640 nucleotides long. The record is from RefSeq and is a predicted model, not a curated record. NCBI's taxonomy places the organism in Eukaryota, Metazoa, Echinodermata, Asteroidea, Valvatida, Acanthasteridae.
UUUUUUACACUCCCAACUGUAAACCCUCUAGAUCAAUAAAACUCUCAAAAAGAUAAAAAUUUAAGAUUUAAAAAAUGCUAUUUAACGGAACUAUUUUAUCUAAUUCUUGUAGUAUAGGCCUAGAUGUGCUUGGUUUGAAGACAGUGGCAAAGCUUCCACCGAACGAAGCCGCGAUUUGGAAACUCCAUACGCAGUGAACCUCACGGUGGAGGCGCCCUGGCCCUAAGCGCUCGGCGCACGCAUGCAACCACUCCAAGUAAACUCUGUACGGCGGGGGAGGGGGUUCGAGAUUUAAAUUUUCGAGGCAAAAAUUCUGCUUUCGUUUUCCCAAAUUCCCACUAACGUGUUGUUAUGAAUGAACUGAAAUGAAAAUGCAAUGGAUUUUAGGCCAGCAACAGCUUCAUGGAACGGAACAUUUGCAACGGAACAUUUCAUCUGUACCCUCAUGGAAUGAGAAUUCCUUAGUUGUAACUUGAAAAUGAUAUCUAUGCGCUGGAUAGUCAACGUCUACAAAAUGCAUCUCAGUAAGGAUCCGGUAUCAAGAAUGUCACAUAUACAACAGGCUGGAGAAAAUGGACCAACUAACAUGCAUCGGAUGAGCAGCCCCAAGCGGUACUUACAAGGUAUUUCUGAAUCAGCU